RNAcentral lists this unclassified non-coding RNA (498 nucleotides) under Hevea brasiliensis (rubber tree). Lineage: Eukaryota; Viridiplantae; Streptophyta; Magnoliopsida; Malpighiales; Euphorbiaceae. The record is from RNAcentral.
CCCAUGAGGCUUUGCAGCCUUGAACCAGCGCUCCUCAAAGUUGGUUAGGACAUCAUAUGCUGCAGGGCCAUCAAUUCUACAGUGCAAAUCAUGCCAUGGCUCUCUAGGGCAACCAGAAACAUUAUUACCUGUGAAAGUGGGGUUGUGAUAGUCGUCCUUAUGCACUGUUUGCAGUGUCCUAAAUAAAGGGUGAUGCGGAGUAUCAUAUCUUCCAUCACAUAAAUCGAGUCCACCAACAAAAGCUAUGAUUUUUCUUCUGUUAUUGCCUGCAUCAGCAUCUACAAUCACAGUUUUCUGAUGGUGCGUAUAUAUGGUUCCAACUUCCCUUUGCUUGACCCAGCUAUGUCUUUUUCCAGCAAUGCGAGGACAGAGAAGCACUUGCACUGAUGAGUUUUUGAAAAAACGGCGGGUUUCCUCAUCAUGGGUCGCCAUAAUUCCAUCAGUUUUAUAUCCUAAGAUACACCUUGAAGUAGGGUCAUCCCAAACAAGAAGCAGCAC